ACGGACAAAACAAAGAUUCUUUGAGUGAAGUAAUCCAGCGUUGAGCGUAAAAAAUAAACAAAGUUCCCGCUUAUGAUCUCCCGUUCCCGUAUCAUAACACCGCUAAAAAUAAACAAAUCGUGACAAAUUGCUGUAAGUGCAGCCGACGCUAUCUGCCCCCCGAGAAGACAAUGGCAUCCACCUAUCGGUUUCCGCGCCCUCUCCACCUGCAAAUCGGAUCGGAGUGUGACUGAGUCACAUCAUUUCCAUGAGCCGCAACCUCUCGACGACCUACAUCCCAGUUGGCACCGCAAGUUACACAUUCAACGCCGGGCACCAAAGUUAGCACUUCCAAAGUCAGUCGUGUGCUUAUAUGUUCGUAUUGUUUUCGAAUUGGAUCUAUGUCAGGGAAUGCAAUUAGAACAGCACCGGAGCAGCGGUGAGCGUUUGAUUAGCGAAUUAUGGCAAGUCGACGGGCGGUUAAUAGGCGAUAAGAUUACUGGGGAGUGUAAAUAACUUGGGUUUCGAAUUUUCUGAUUCGCCAGUGGCCAGUGGUCGUCCAUUUCAAUUAUGAUGUCACUGUCGCCAAGUCAAUGAACGUCUUCCGACACCUUAAACAGACAACAUACAUCAACAAAUACAGCGGCUAGUCAUCCCCGACCGAUGUCUCCAUAUGGCAAACGGCGUCGUGAUUUGUACAAAAUACAGCGGAAGGAAAAAACGAGCGAAAAAAUGUAUUUAUGAAGAUAAGACUGAAAACAAUAAAACUCGAAAAGUAAGUUUUUGUGUCCAGAAGCCGGCCAUAACUGUAGACUCCAGGGGACAGAACCAAUCGGGUUCGUCAAGAAAUUGGAACACCAAAGAGCCGUUCAUGCCAUCUCAUCUCCUCCAGCGCGCCACAUCCCACUCCAGAUGUGCCCACUACUCGGCGAUAAGGCAGCAGCGUCGAGUAUUGGAUUCGAAUAAUAAAAACGUAAACGACAAAAGCGAAACGCACGGCAAACAAACAAUACAAUAGAAACUGGUGUGAGAUAAAGACAGAGCCAGUAUGAAAGAAAACCCAACAACAACAAUAGUAAUAAU
This 1062-nucleotide long non-coding RNA is filed under the name Drosophila melanogaster (fruit fly). RNAcentral's name for it is "long non-coding RNA:CR45048 (Dmel_CR45048)". The record is from RNAcentral. Lineage: Eukaryota; Metazoa; Arthropoda; Insecta; Diptera; Drosophilidae.